This 294-nucleotide ribosomal RNA is filed under the name uncultured Anoxybacillus sp. RNAcentral describes it as "partial 16S ribosomal RNA". It matches the Rfam family "Bacterial small subunit ribosomal RNA", at positions 1086 to 1382 of the family's 1533-position model. The record is from RNAcentral. Lineage: Bacteria; Bacillati; Bacillota; Bacilli; Caryophanales; Anoxybacillaceae.
UCCGCAACGAGCGCAACCCUCGACCUUAGUUGCCAGCAUUCAGUUGGGCACUCUAAGGUGACUGCCGGCUAAAGGUCGGAGGAAGUGGGGAUGACGUCAAAUCAUCAUGCCCCUUAUGACCUGGGCUACACACGUGCUACAAUGGGCGGUACAAAGGGUCGCGAACCCGCGAGGGGGAGCCAAUCCCAAAAAGCCGCUCUCAGUUCGGAUUGCAGGCUGCAACUCGCCUGCAUGAAGCCGGAAUCGCUAGUAAUCGCGGAUCAGCAUGCCGCGGUGAAUACGUUCCCGGGCCUU